GACAGAGGGUGCAAACGUUGUUCGGAAUUACUGGGCGUAAAGCGCGUGUAGGCUGUUCUGCAAGUCGGGUGUGAAAGCCCCGGGCUCAACCUGGGAAGUGCACUCGAAACUGCAGAACUCGAGUCCUGGAGAGGAAGGCGGAAUUCUCGGUGUAGAGGUGAAAUUCGUAGAUAUCGGGAGGAACACCAGUGGCGAAGGCGGAGACCUGGGCCAAUACUGACGCUGAGGUGCGAAAGCGUGGGGAGCAAACAGG
Molecule: ribosomal RNA, 253 nt
Filed under: uncultured bacterium
Lineage: Bacteria
Description: partial 16S ribosomal RNA
Rfam family: Bacterial small subunit ribosomal RNA
Source: RNAcentral